AAGAAUAUGGGAUGAACACGGCAUAUGGCUAGACACAAAGGUGGCAGUAUGUAAGGCAGUCAUCCUCACAGUUCUGUUGUAUGGAUCUGAGUCCUGGACCAUUUAUCGCCAGCAGAUAACCAAACUUGAUCAGUUCCAUAUGCACUGUCUCCGUCAUAUUGCACAUGUCAAAUGGCAGGAUAAAGUCCCAAAUACUGAGGUACUCCAAACCUGUGGCAUCACUGGUAUUGUGGCCUUCCUGCUCGCUGCUUAGUUUCGCUGGUCUGGACAUGUUGUACUCAUGGCAGAUUCACGCCUGCCGAAGCAGGUUUUCUCUGGCCAGCUCCAGAGCGGCAUGCGCUCUCAAGGAGGGAAAUCAAACGUGACAAGGACGGCCUCAAAGCCAAUUUGAAACUAUGCAACAUGGACCCAAAUGACCUUGAAUAGAUGGUCGCAGACAGGACAUCAUGGCGAGCACAGUGCCAUACUGCCAUACACUGCUUUGAGUCCAGCCGGUUCACUGUUGCUGUAGACAAACGAAGACGCCGAAAGCUCAAUACAUUUAAAAUAACAACAUCUAGCCAGUUUAUGUGCAACACCUGUGGCCGGCCAUGUGCUUCGAGGAUUGGCCUCUAUUCACAUCGUAGGACGCACCAACAACAACUGUGACGAGAUCUGUCGUGUCGACAGCUCAGACCAUGACUGAAGUCACGUUUUCUCCAGCAUUUGUCAUCUCGUGCAGUCCUUAGUUUUGGUUACCCGCAUGACUAGCUUUGUUGUGCUAAGCAGCAUUAAGGCAUGUCAAGCUUUUUUCACUUAACGACCCGAUAGCAGCAUGUGUAUAUUUGAUGUGAACGCUGAUACGGGAGCUGCAGUGGAAGAAGCAGCCCUCAUGUAAAGCCCUCCUCGUGUGAAGACCUACUUGUGUAAAGACCAGCGAGUCUACCUGUGCGUGUCCACCGAGCAAGGACACUGACAACGCGCCACUCACCCUAGCACUUAAGUAUCUUUUUUCAUUUUUUUUAAACUGUUUUCCUUAUACAUUCCGAUAUGUCUUUUCCACACAUAACAUGUGCCCUCAAGCACAUCUCUGUUAUCUGUUACAGACAGUUUACAUGAUAUAGACGAAGGACACAACGCAACCCACACAACCUACGGCCACUUUGCACUUCUUUCCAGCCUUCACCACACAGUCCACCCUCAGCAUCCUUGCACUGACAUGGAUACAUCCAGAGGAUACAGCAACACCCGUUGCUCUCUCCAAAAACUUCUCUCACACCCCUUGACAUGCCGGUAGGGGUAGGGGAACAGGUCAGCUGGCAAACUUUCUUGAGGAGCUGGAUGUCCUGCUGUCCUACUUCCCUGAAGAUGGCAGGCCACUUGUGGUUCUUGGAGAUUUCAACAUACACCAAGACAAGCCUCAGGCCACUGGACUUCAUGCUCUUCUGGCCUCGUUCGACUUGGAAAGACUAAGCACUACAGCAACUCACAGAUCGGACAACCAGCUGGACCUCAUUUUUACACGCCAGCACGUAUGACACUGCCCAACCCCUGACUCUUUGACGUUCUUCGUGAACAUCAGACUGACCUCAGGGUGGCUGAGAGGAGAUGGCAGAAAUCUAAAGAUCCAACAGAUUUAGAACAAGCUGCUGGAUGACAAUCAGUCAGGCUUCAAAGUGGACAUUCCACCGAGACUGCCCUGCUGUCUGUCACUGAGUCGCUGACACAGGUGAGAGCUGGAUCCAGAUCAUCUGUCCUGAUUCUACUGGACCUUUCUGCAGCCUUUGACACAGUCAACCAUCAGAUCCUACUCUCCACCUUCUCUACUCUGGGCAUCACAGGAACUGUGCUUGACUGGUUGAAGUCCUAUCUCUCAGCCCAAUGACACCACUGUGACUGCUCGAAUCUCGGCCUCUUUGUCAGACAUCUCGGCCUGGAUGAAGGAACACCACCAGCAACUUAACCCAGCAAAGACUGAGCUCCUCGUCUUUCCAGCCAACCCUGCUGUUGAACACAACAUCGCCGUUCAGCUGGGUUCAACUACUGUACUGCAAAUGAUCCAGAAUGCAGCAGCACAACUGGUCUUUGGUUCAUUAAAGACAGCCCAUGUGACACCACUCCUUGUCUCUCUUCACUGGCUGCCGGUUGAUGCACGGAUCAAAUUCAAGGCUCUGAUGCUUAUAUAUUCUUGUUGCACUGUAAUCUGUCUUGGAUACUACUAUUCUGAUGCUAGUAAAACUUUGUAUUGCAGCACAUUUAGUACCACUGUCUCCUUAAGCUGAAUCGUUUAAGAUGUAUUAUUCCUCUUUUGUAAGUCCCUUUGGAUAAAAGCGUCUGCCAAAUGAAUAAAUGUAAAUGUGAAGGUACACCAAUGAGAUUGAAUGGAGAGCACAUGGAGACAUUAGCAACUGCCUCUCAGUUUUUUUCUUCUGUGGAAAAUACCCUAGUAAUCUCAGACUUCAUUCACACUUGUCUCUGAUCCUGGCAUAAUUACCGGGAAGCCUUCUAUGUGAACGCAAGCCAAGCCGGAACGCCAGAAAAUUCCAGCAGUAAAUUCCGGCAUUCCCAAGAUCAAUCCCGGAACGUGUCUGUGUGAACAAAGGCAGAGCAAAUAUCGUGAAGGGUGUGUGUAGUAGUGAUGAUGUAUUUAUUAUGCGAAGGAGAAAGUUUGUAUGCAGAAUAAAGAUGUAACAGUUUCAGGGUAGACCGCGGUUUUAAAAAACAGACAUUUUCUCAUUCACACCAUUGCGUGAAUAUAAAGUUUUCUGGUUUUUAUUUUGUCAAAUCCAAGUUAAGGAAUUAAUUUUUCAGUGUAAAUAUCAGUUUCAUUAAGAAACAAUUGGCUACAUUUACAGCAUCACAAACCUGACAUGAUAAAAUAAAUAUAUAAAUCCCUCUUUCAUUCAGAGAACGCAGCACAUGAAAUUUCGGAGUCUGAACAUUUUUUCCCUCUUGUUGACAGUGUGGUUGAAAUCUGCGAUGUAAGAAUACUUUGGGUUUUUUAAAUUUUGAUGAUGGUUACCCAGUUUGUAAACUGUGUUGAAAAAAAA
Long non-coding RNA from Myxocyprinus asiaticus (Chinese sucker), 3029 nucleotides. RefSeq lists it as uncharacterized. The transcript has 5 exons. Lineage: Eukaryota; Metazoa; Chordata; Actinopteri; Cypriniformes; Catostomidae. The record is from RefSeq and is a predicted model, not a curated record.